RNAcentral lists this ribosomal RNA (104 nucleotides) under uncultured bacterium. RNAcentral's name for it is "partial 16S ribosomal RNA". It matches the Rfam family "Bacterial small subunit ribosomal RNA", at positions 388 to 508 of the family's 1533-position model. The record is from RNAcentral.
AGAGUAACGCCGCGUGGAGGAUGAAGGCCUUCGGGUUGUAAACUCCUUUUCUGGGGAAGAGUAGAAGACGGUACCCCAGGAAGAAGCCUCGGCUAACUACGUGC